GACGUAGGGUGCGAGCGUUGUCCGGAUUUAUUGGGCGUAAAGAGCUCGUAGGCGGCUUGUUGCGUCGGCUGUGAAAACCCAUGGCUCAACCGUGGGCUUGCAGCCGAUACGGGCAGGCUAGAGUUCGGUAGGGGAGACUGGAAUUCCUGGUGUAGCGGUGAAAUGCGCAGAUAUCAGGAGGAACACCGGUGGCGAAGGCGGGUCUCUGGGCCGAUACUGACGCUGAGGAGCGAAAGCGUGGGGAGCGAACAGG
RNAcentral lists this ribosomal RNA (253 nucleotides) under uncultured bacterium. RNAcentral's name for it is "partial 16S ribosomal RNA". It matches the Rfam family "Bacterial small subunit ribosomal RNA", at positions 524 to 776 of the family's 1533-position model. The record is from RNAcentral.